ACUACAGGCCGAGCUAUCGCUCUCCGUUUAUGCGGGGGGAGGAAAGUCCGGACAGCGCAGAGCAGUGUACCGGUUAAUUGCCGGGUCCGCUUUUGGCGGAACAGCCAGUGCCACAGAAAAUAACCGCCAGUAAUGGUAAGGGUGAAAACGUGAGGUAAGUGCUCACGAUAUCGCCUGGUAACAGGCAAUAUGGGUAAACCUUGCACGCUGAAAUGCCAUGUAUACCAGUCGUUGAGGGCGGCUCGUCCGAUCCCGUAACCACGGGAAGGCUGGGUGGGUAGGCAGAAAGAUCCUGUCAGUAAUGGCAGGGCCAGAUAAAUGAUAGUUUAGAAACAAAAUCCGGCUUAUGAGCCUGUAGUUUUU
This 363-nucleotide RNase P RNA is filed under the name Chitinophagaceae bacterium. RNAcentral describes it as "RNase P RNA component class A". It matches the Rfam family "Bacterial RNase P class A". From Rfam's summary of the family: Ribonuclease P (RNase P) is a ubiquitous endoribonuclease, found in archaea, bacteria and eukarya as well as chloroplasts and mitochondria. Its best characterised activity is the generation of mature 5'-ends of tRNAs by cleaving the 5'-leader elements of precursor-tRNAs. Cellular RNase Ps are ribonucleoproteins. Lineage: Bacteria; Pseudomonadati; Bacteroidota; Chitinophagia; Chitinophagales; Chitinophagaceae. The record is from RNAcentral.